AGGCGACGAUCCCUAGCUGGUCUGAGAGGAUGACCAGCCACACUGGAACUGAGACACGGUCCAGACUCCUACGGGAGGCAGCAGUGGGGAAUAUUGCACAAUGGGCGCAAGCCUGAUGCAGCCAUGCCGCGUGUGUGAAGAAGGCCUUCGGGUUGUAAAGCACUUUCAGCGGGGAGGAAGGCGGUGAGGUUAAUAACCUCACCGAUUGACGUUACCCGCAGAAGAAGCACCGGCUAACUCCGUGCCAGCAGCCGCGGUAAUACGGAGGGUGCAAGCGUUAAUCGGAAUUACUGGGCGUAAAGCGCACGCAGGCGGUCUGUCAAGUCGGAUGUGAAAUCCCCGG
Molecule: ribosomal RNA, 343 nt
Filed under: Pseudomonas aeruginosa
Lineage: Bacteria; Pseudomonadati; Pseudomonadota; Gammaproteobacteria; Pseudomonadales; Pseudomonadaceae
Description: bacterial SSU rRNA
Rfam family: Bacterial small subunit ribosomal RNA
Source: RNAcentral